RNAcentral lists this ribosomal RNA (406 nucleotides) under uncultured bacterium. Its description in RNAcentral is "partial 16S ribosomal RNA". It matches the Rfam family "Bacterial small subunit ribosomal RNA", at positions 30 to 526 of the family's 1533-position model. The record is from RNAcentral.
AUUGAACGCUGGCGGCAGGCUUAACACAUGCAAGUCGAGCGAGCGGCGGACGGGUGAGUAAUGUCUGGGAAACUGCCUGAUGGAGGGGGCUAACUACUGGAAACGGUAGCUAAUACCGCAUACCAUCAGAUGUGCCCAGAUGGGAUUAGCUAGUAGGUGGGGUAAUGGCUCACCUCGGCGACGAUCCCUAGCGGGUCUGAGAGGAUAACCAGCCACACUGGAACUGAGCAACGGUCCGGACCCCUACGGGAGGCAGCAGUGGGGAAUAUCGCACAAUGGGGUCAAGCCUGAUGCAGCCAUGCCGCGUGUGGGAAGAAGGCCUUCGGGUUGUAAAGCACUUUCAGCGAGGAGGCGUUACUCGCAGAAGAAGCACCGGCUAACUCCGUGCCAGCAGCCGCGGUAAUUC